AGUGAUACAGAAGUAAACAAACUUGCCACACAAGUAUACAAACAAACAUGCCGUACAUACAAGUUUAGAAAUGCAUCGAACAUACCAUGUCAGAAAGAAUGGAUUGAGAAACCAGAAUAUGUAAACAACAGAAUUAACAAGACUUAAAGAGAAAGAUCAAGACAUCAAGUUUGGAAAGGGAAUGAAAGGCUUCUUUUUCCCAUUUGACAUCAUUGUGUUUUCAUUUCAAAUGGGUUUUUAUUUGCUAUUCUUUUUUCCCAUUUCAUAUGGGUUUUUAUUUGUUGUUUUUUCCCAUUCAAAAUGGGUUUUUUUCGAAUCAAAGUUGAAAAUGAAAAAAAAUCUAGUUAAAUAUAUUUUAGAUAACUAGAAAAAAUGUGUUUGUAUUUCUUUUUCGCCUAUAGUAGUAUCUGUUUCACAACGUUAUAACAAUUUUGAUAUUGAACUGGUUCAUCAAAAAGAUAUGUGUGCUUCGAACCAACCAGACAAAAUGACAAUGCCGAUAACAUUGACCAAUAUUACAUUAUCGACAUCAUUGUCCAAAAACCAUCAGUUCGUAAAUAUAAGAACGGAAACAAUGUUUAUUCCACUGAUGAUUACGAUAAAAAAGCUGCAAUUUUGCCAUUAAAACAUUUAGUAAAUAAGUCCAAUGUGUGGUAUUAUUACGGUGGCACAAAGGUGACAUGUAUGUGUUUUUAUUUAUCUCGUGCGCACGAGAUGUCGUGGCCACGAGUUACUAAGUCUUGGCCAUGAGAUAGUUAAGUCAUGGGAACGAGAUACUAUGUCUUGGCCACGAGUUGCUAAGUCGUGGCCACGAGAUAAUUAAGUCGUGGCCACGAGAUACUAUGUCGUGGCCACGAGAUACUAUGUCGCAGCCACGAGUUGCUAAGUUACUAAGUACAUGUCUAGUUAAUUAAGAAAACUCAUAUAAUUA
Molecule: long non-coding RNA, 931 nt
Organism: Ruditapes philippinarum (Manila clam)
Lineage: Eukaryota; Metazoa; Mollusca; Bivalvia; Venerida; Veneridae
Exons: 3
Source: RefSeq, a predicted model, not a curated record